GCGCGGAAAGCACUCGAACCUUCUCAAACUGCGUGCUCCGACAUACCUGGUUACAAGCACACACCAAUGGAUUUCAUAAUUAAUGAAGGAGGAACAAGAGGUAAAGGCCAUGUGGCCUGACAGAGGCUCUUGCUCCUAAGUGCAUUCGGCAAACAUAUUCAAAGAAAAUACAGCACAAAAAAUGAAGAAAAAGCACUUCAAGCCAUACGUCACUUUUGGGUGGAAGCAUUAAAGUACCUAGAGCAGCUACUUGUGGCCUGACGCAUCCAAACAACAGGGCGACAUGAAUUUCAAUGUGGCAAAGUAUGCGGUCAAAUCCUUAGUUUUUAUUGGUUACCUUAGCCUGCAGCAAAAUGAUAAUAAAAAGCCAUAAAUUCCUAGUAGCUGAAUCAUGAAAUGCUUAAGUUGUGCAUGUUUACAUGUUUUCUUCACACCAUGUAUAAUUUUUAGCUUUUCCUCUAGAUGUCUAAUAAAACGAAUGAGCUUUCACGUUACUACUUAUUUAAUUGAAAUUUUUUGCAUGCUCAACAGUGUUUGUAGUGAUAGUAUGUAAACAAGGUGUGGAAAAGUUUAUUUAGGUGCUUUGAGUGAGUGCUCAACAGCAAGUUUUAACAAUUGUAGUGAAAUUACCUUGGUAUUAUUUUUAUCCCUCAAAUAUGUCACACCUUUUCACACCCAUUUCAUGUAUUAAAGCAGGCUACCUUUAUAUAGCUGUUUUAAUGAGCAUACAAAUUACUCUGCUACAUUAAAGUAACAUUUAGGUGGGCUACACUGUCAUACACCAUAAAAAUGUGCCGUAUUCUUUCACUCAAACAAAAUAUGAAUAACUUUGAAUUAUUAUUGAGGCCAUUUUCAGGUAACAUUUCAAUGCCCUUUUCUAGAUGUUCACUGAACAUCUGCGUAAAAUGCACAAGUCUUGCAACACAAUGUCGCUGGGAUACUCAGAAUGCGUUCUAGAAAAAUAAAGAAACAUGUAUAGUGCAUACAAAAAUGUGAUCUGGAUCAUUGAAACGUGUUAUAAUUCUUUAAGUAUGCUCAGUGUAGGUACAGGAGCCCAAUACUUGAUCACCCACGCAACAGUAAAAGCAUAUGUGAAAGACAGUCCAACAAUAAAUGUGUGUUGUGCAUUUAACACGAGUUCAUUGCAAAAGAGCAUAAUCUGGACUUGAGCGUUGGAUUCGAGUGCUGCCCUUUAGCAUGAAUUUUUUUAUG
Dermacentor silvarum is the source of this 1212-nucleotide long non-coding RNA. RefSeq lists it as uncharacterized. Lineage: Eukaryota; Metazoa; Arthropoda; Arachnida; Ixodida; Ixodidae. The transcript has 3 exons. The record is from RefSeq and is a predicted model, not a curated record.